UGAGAUCAAGAUAUGCAAAAUACACACGGAUCUGAACAUUUCUGAUCUGUUGACAAAACCACUCCUGCAGGCUAAGCAUGAUGCGCAUGUAAGAGCUAUGGGUAUUAGGUACCUUCUAGAUUUACUCUAGUGCAAGUGGGAGACUGUUGGAUGUAUGCCCUAGAGGCAAUCAUCGAGAUGAUGAUAUUCCAAUUGUAUCCAUGAUUUAUAUUGUGUUCCUUGAAUAUCCAUUAAAGGCUACUUGAAUUGAUUUGCAAUUAUGUGAAUUGUGU
This 272-nucleotide long non-coding RNA is filed under the name Setaria viridis. RNAcentral's name for it is "long non-coding RNA (SVIR_LNC000593)". The record is from RNAcentral. Lineage: Eukaryota; Viridiplantae; Streptophyta; Magnoliopsida; Poales; Poaceae.